Molecule: ribosomal RNA, 445 nt
Filed under: uncultured bacterium
Lineage: Bacteria
Description: partial 16S ribosomal RNA
Rfam family: Bacterial small subunit ribosomal RNA
Source: RNAcentral
GUGAGGAAUAUUGGUCAAUGGGCGGGAGCCUGAACCAGCCAAGUCGCGUGAAGGAAGAAGGAUCUAUGGUUCGUAAACUUCUUUUGCAGGGGAAUAAAGUGCAGGACGUGUCCUGUUUUGUAUGUACCCUGAGAAUAAGGAUCGGCUAACUCCGUGCCAGCAGCCGCGGUAAUACGGAGGAUCCGAGCGUUAUACGGAUUUAUUGGGUUUAAAGGGUGCGUAGGUGGUUUGAUAAGUCAGCGGUGAAAGUUUGCAGCUUAACUGUAAAAAUGCCGUUGAAACUGUCGGACUUGGGUGUUAAUGAGGUAGGCGGAAUGCGUGGUGUAGCGGUGAAAUGCAUAGAUAUCACGCAGAACUCCGAUUGCGAAGGCAGCUUACUAAGCUACAACUGACACUGAAGCACGAAAGCGUGGGGAUCAAACAGGAUUAGAUACCCGUGUAGUCC